RNAcentral lists this ribosomal RNA (253 nucleotides) under uncultured bacterium. Its description in RNAcentral is "partial 16S ribosomal RNA". It matches the Rfam family "Bacterial small subunit ribosomal RNA", at positions 524 to 776 of the family's 1533-position model. The record is from RNAcentral.
UACGAGGGGGGCAAGCGUUGUUCGGAAUUAUUGGGCGUAAAGGGUGCGUAGGCGGUCUGACAAGUCUGAUGUGAAAUCUAUGGGCUCAACCCAUAGUCUGCAUCGGAAACUGUCGGGCUGGAGUAUGGGAGAGGUGAGUGGAAUUUCCGGUGUAGCGGUGAAAUGCGUAGAGAUCGGAAAGAACACCAACGGCGAAAGCACUCUGCUGGGCCGACACUGACACUGAGAGACGAAAGCUAGGGGAGCGAAUGGG